RNAcentral lists this ribosomal RNA (1383 nucleotides) under human gut metagenome. RNAcentral describes it as "bacterial LSU rRNA". It matches the Rfam family "Bacterial large subunit ribosomal RNA", at positions 760 to 2254 of the family's 2925-position model. The record is from RNAcentral.
CACCAACUGGAGGACCGCACCCACGCCUGUUGAAAAAGUCGGGGAUGACUUGUAGCUAGGGGUGAAAGGCCAAUCAAACUCGGAAAUAGCUGGUUCUCCGCGAAAACUAUUUAGGUAGUGCGGCAAGCGAAUACCUUGAGGGGUAGAGCACUGGAAGAAUGAGGGGGGAGCGAUCCUUACUAAAUUUUACCAAACUCCGAAUACUCAAGAGUAAUACUUGCCAGACAGACAGUAGGUGCUAAGGUCUAUUGUCGAGAGGGAAAGAGCCCAGACCGUCAAUUAAGGUCCCUAAAUUAUGGCUAAGUGGUAAAGGAAGUGAAUUGUCCAAAACAGUCAGGAGGUUGGCUUAGAAGCAGCCAUCCUUUAAAGAAAGCGUAAUAGCUCACUGAUCUAAUUAAGACGAUUUGCGCCGAAGAUGUAACGGGGCUAAAGCCAUAUACCGAAAUUACGGGUUUGUACUAAGUACAAGCGGUAGCGGAGCGUUCUGUAAGCCUGCGAAGGUGUUCCGUAAGGAAUGCUGGAGGUAUCAGAAGUGAGAAUGCUGACAUGAGUAGCGAAAAGAAGUGUGAGAGACACUUCCGCUGAAAGUCCAAGGUUUCCUGCGUAAAGCUAAUCUGCGCAGGGUUAGUCGGCCCCUAAGGUGAGGCUGAGAAGCGUAGCUGAUGGGAAGCAGGUUAAUAUUCCUGCACCAGCUAGGAGGUGACGGAUUUCAAAGAUUGUAACUGAUUAUUGGAUUUCGGUUGCAGUUCAGAAGUUCCAGGAAAGAGCCCUAGCAUAGACCGUACCCAAAACCGACACAGGUGGACAGGUAGAGAAUCCAAAGCGCUUGAGAGAACUAUGUUGAAGGAACUAGGCAAAAUGCUUGUGUAACUUCGGGAUAAGCAAGCCCCAUUUUUAGGCAACUAAAGGUGGGGGGCACAUACUAGGGGGUAGCGACUGUUUACUAAAAACACAGGGCUCUGCUAAAUUGAAAGAUGAAGUAUAGGGUCUGACGCCUGCCCGGUGCUGGAAGGUUAAGGAGAGAUGUUCACGCAUUGAACUGAAGCCCCAGUAAACGGCGGCCGUAACUAUAACGGUCCUAAGGUAGCGAAAUUCCUUGUCGGGUAAGUUCCGACCUGCACGAAUGGCGUAACGACUUCCCCGCUGUCUCCAACAUAGGCUCAGCGAAAUUGAACUCUGAGUUAAGAUGCUCAGUACCCGCGGUUAGACGGAAAGACCCCGUGAACCUUUACUAUAGCUUUGCAGUGGUAUUAGGUAAUAGAUGUGUAGAAUAGGUGGGAUGCUAUGAAGCAGGGACGCUAGUUCUUGUGGAGCAGACUUUGAAAUACCACCCUUUUGUUAUUUGAUAUCUAACCUGCUCCCGUAGAUCCGGGAGAGGGACCC